AUGUGCAUGAUAAUAUAGCUAUGAACACCCUGCUGAUCCAUGGUUUCAGUCGACUACAUGCACAUGCACAUGCACAUCCACGCUCACUAUAAAAAAAGUUAUUUACUAUUUCAGCAUGACAACAACUAUGGACGCAAAAAAAUAAUUCCAAAAAGAAUGACAACAUUUAAAAAUAUAUAUUUGUUUUCACUUUUGUACAGAAAAAAAAGUUACAAGUCAGAUAGGGAGUUCUAAAAUUAUGUCAGAUUUUGACUCUGGGUUGAACACUUUAUAAUUUAAUUAAAACUAUGCAAUUUCAGAAGUUGGCCACUAUGUGGCAUAAUCUAUGAUGUUGAUGGAAACUACUCAUUUAAGUUCCUGUUGUAUGUGUGUAAUGUCUGCAAAUAAUUGCUUCUGGACUGGUAAACUUCAGACUAAUAUUGCCUGCUGCACUAUGUUAAUCUGUCUGAUGAAUUUACUUCUAAUGGCUGCAGUUCUUGGUAAGUAACUUAACUGUUAAGCUCUGAAGCAACAUGAGCAUGUUUUUAACUAGAAUAAACACACUCCAGCAGUGGGUGGAGCUUAUAGUUGAGAGUGAGAGGCAGAGUGAAACAGCUACAGUACAGUUAUAAAGAUUAUAUUGUUGUCAUCACUGUCUCUGUAAAGACAUCAUGUUUCUUUUCACCUUUCUAAUAAUCCAGUUUUGCAUAGGAAAUUCAUUUGGUGACACAAUACAACCAUGGUUUCUAGAAAAACAUGAUUCUGAGGGUGAAAAUGUGACUCUGUCAUGUAACUACAGUAUCACUAGUGGCAGCACUAGUGUUAAUAUCCACUGGUAUCGCCAGUAUCCCGGAGCAAAACCUGAGUUUUUACUUCUUGUCACUGAAUAUUCCAGCAAAUCUGAGCCUGAACUACGACUAUUUUCAGAAGCUAAAAAAGAAAUCAAACGUGUGGAUCUGGUGAUCUUCUCUGCUGCUGUAUCAGACUCUGCUCUGUAUUACUGUGCUCUGGUGCCCACAGUGACAGGAAACACAGUAACAAUGUACAAAAACCUUCCCUUUUAUCUAGUAAAAUUAAAACACAAACACACACAUACAGAGACAAAGACUAAGAGAGAAACUGUAGAGUAUUUAUAG
This 1115-nucleotide long non-coding RNA is filed under the name Carassius auratus (goldfish). RNAcentral's name for it is "lncRNA (ENSCARG00000017578.1)". The record is from RNAcentral. Lineage: Eukaryota; Metazoa; Chordata; Actinopteri; Cypriniformes; Cyprinidae.